Molecule: ribosomal RNA, 374 nt
Filed under: uncultured bacterium
Lineage: Bacteria
Description: bacterial SSU rRNA
Rfam family: Bacterial small subunit ribosomal RNA
Source: RNAcentral
ACGUAGGGGGCGAGCGUUGUCCGAAGUUACUGGGCGUAAAGAGCGCGUAGGCGGGUCUUUAAGUGAGGGGUGAAAGGUUCAGGGCUCAACCCGGACACUGCCUUUCAUACUGGGGACCUUGAGUGUGGGAGAGGCGAGUGGAAUGGUCGGUGUAGCGGUGAAAUGCGUAGAUAUCGAUCGGAACACCCAUGGCGAAGGCAGCUCGCUGGCCUAUAACUGACGCUGAGGCGCGAAAGCGUGGGGAGCAAACAGGAUUAGAUACCCUGGUAGUCCACGCCGUAAACGAUGAGUGCUAGGUGUCAGGGGUAUCGACCCCCCUGGUGCCGCAGCUAACGCAAUAAGCACUCCGCCUGGGGAGUACGGCCGCAAGGUUG